RNAcentral lists this ribosomal RNA (697 nucleotides) under endosymbiont of Sphenophorus levis. RNAcentral describes it as "bacterial SSU rRNA". It matches the Rfam family "Bacterial small subunit ribosomal RNA", at positions 366 to 1052 of the family's 1533-position model. The record is from RNAcentral. Lineage: Bacteria; Pseudomonadati; Pseudomonadota; Gammaproteobacteria.
UCGGCAUGGACGAAAGUCUGACGAGCACGCCGCGUGAGUGAAGAAGGUUUUCGGAUCGUAAAACUCUGUUGGUAGAGAAGAACGUUGGUGAGAGUGGAAAGCUCAUCAAGUGACGGUAACUACCCAGAAAGGGACGGCUAACUACGUGCCAGCAGCCGCGGUAAUACGUAGGUCCCGAGCGUUGUCCGGAUUUAUUGGGCGUAAAGCGAGCGCAGGUGGUUUAUUAAGUCUGGUGUAAAAGGCAGUGGCUCAACCAUUGUAUGCAUUGGAAACUGGUAGACUUGAGUGCAGGAGAGGAGAGUGGAAUUCCAUGUGUAGCGGUGAAAUGCGUAGAUAUAUGGAGGAACACCGGUGGCGAAAGCGGCUCUCUGGCCUGUAACUGACACUGAGGCUCGAAAGCGUGGGGAGCAAACAGGAUUAGAUACCCUGGUAGUCCACGCCGUAAACGAUGAGUGCUAGAUGUAGGGAGCUAUAAGUUCUCUGUAUCGCAGCUAACGCAAUAAGCACUCCGCCUGGGGAGUACGACCGCAAGGUUGAAACUCAAAGGAAUUGACGGGGGCCCGCACAAGCGGUGGAGCAUGUGGUUUAACUCGAAGCAACGCGAAAGAACCUUACCAGGUCUUGACAUACUCGUGCUAUUCCUAAGAUAGGAAGUUCCCUUUCGGGCACACGGGAUACCGGGUGGCUGCUUGGUUGU